UCGCUGUUCGCCGCUCUCCCUUCGCUUCCUCCGUCGCAGUCCUGUUUCUUUUCUUGCGCGUGCGUUCAGCUCCUUUGCUCAGCCGCGGAGGUGGAGGGACCACGAGGACUGCGGGCCCUAGGGUCCACAGAUGACAUAUCAGUCGAUAGGCAUGCAUUUACUGUUCGAGGGAAACAAAUAAGGGUGCAGCUUAGGCGAAAAGAAAAUCGUCUUAUUGCCAGUGUCUAAACUCCUAACGACGGAAUGUGUCUCUGAGACUAUGAGUGUGGAUACACGUGUACUUAAAACAGCCCCGCCUGUGUGCAGAGCUCUUGCUGUACGUCAACGCUUUACAGGAGCUAUCGCACUUAAGCCUCAGAACAACUUGAUGAGGCCUAUUUCUAACAGGCUUAUUUAUGUGCAUUCUUAUUCUAUCCCGGAUUGGAAUCAGAAAAUUGGACAGUGUUGCAGGUACUCAUUGAUGCAGGCCUACCAGCAGCCACAAAAGUGAGAACUGAAUACACUACAAGAAAUGUUGAAGAAAGAGCUUCAGACAGAAGGGAAAUGAUACCAUUUGGAAAUACAGAUCUACACAAAGGAAUGAUGAGCCCUGGAAAAGUUUACAAAAUGGGAAAACUGUGCCUCACAAAGCAGUAACUUUUUGAAGAUGACAGAAUUUGUAAGUAAUGUCAAAAUUUAAACUCAAAUUUAUUUUACUCCCAAAUAUACAAUCUUCCACAGUAGACUGUCCCUAUUUAGAUUUCUGGUUAAAUACCAAGACUGACAGAUGCUAUAAUAACUACUGAUAACUAAGCUCAGACUGUGUUACUCACUUCUCCCACACCACUUUUACCACCCAGUAUGUUGUCUGGCAUGUUUGUUGAGUAUAGAUUAUACAUAGCACCAAUACGCAAUUAAGAGCUCAAAACUUAUUUGUUGCUUUUUUUGACACGAUUCCAUUUUUAACAUUCAUAGUGUCUGCUGAAACUAAGAAAUUGAGUGUGUGACCUUGGAGGAUCUUUUCAGGCUAAUAUUAAAGCCAAUAAUUUAUCUGUGCGCUUCUGUAAGUAGAAUUAAACAGAAGUGAUCCUAUAGCCCUAAAACUGAACUUGAGGAAAUCUUUUACUUUUCCGCGAAAUCUUCCUUUCCUCUGUGUGUGUGUGUGUGUGCGCUUUAAAUUAUGGUUACUAGUCUGGAAGAUAUGGUUUGAUAUGUGGUCAAAGUGGCCCCCAGAUUUUCUUUGUUGAAGUAAAGAGAGUAAGCAACAACACAGGAACAUUUCUAAAUUGCUAAAAAAAAUUUAUUCCAUUAUUGGAUAGAGUUCAAUAGACAUAAAACUUUUACAAUAAAAUUGCUUUUAGGUGACUUUUGGAGGCACAAUAGGGUAUUAGUUAAGAAAACUGGCACUGGAAUCAGACAGAUCUGACAUCCUAGCUCUGCCCACUUGCCAGCUAUGUUCCCUUAAUGAUAUAACUUAGGCCUCAAUUUUGCCCAUCUGUGAAAUGGGUUAGUAAUACUUACCUCACAGAGUUGUGAAUAUUAAAUGAGAUAAUAAAUAUCAGAGCACUUAACACAGUGUCCAGCAUACAGUAAGUACUCAAUAAAUGUUCCAUUGCCAGCUACUAUGAAGAUACUGCUACAUACAUGUAGGAAUCCAAAGCCAUAUUAGAUUAUAAUGAUGAAAUGCUAAAAGUAUUUAAUGAUAUAAUCUCUUGUUUACAGAAAAUGUAUCACACAGAUUCCAAAAACUCUUAGCUCAGGGAGUAUCAAACUUGAUCCAUUCCUAUUUAAAGAAACAAGUAAGAUAGCACAUUCUAAUACUGAACCUUCUUUAAAGGUGGUUUUCUAUUUCCAUAGUCCCAUAGCCAGGAUUUGCUUUGGGGAUGGAAAUUCAUGUUGACCCUGACAGUUUUACAUUAAAACAAACUCCAUAUUUAAGAGCAAAAAGUUUGGAUGAUGUGUUAAUGUAUCUUUUAUAUUCUAUAUUUUUUGUAGCCAUAGCCUUUAUACAAAAGUACUGCAGUCUAAAAAAAGUUGUAGGUAUUUAUUUUGUGUUUUAUCUUAAGACAUAAUUUUUGAGGACCUUCAAUUAAAAAUUCAGAACAUUGAGUGAGAUAAUCCAGAAAAACUGAGUCUUUCAAUUUUAUUCAUUCAGUUUGUUAUUCUCACUCAUUAAGGGGUCAGCCAAAAUGAAGAGACAAUGUUUAAUAAAGGACAGCUUUGUCUGACCUGAAGGAAAGUGUUCCAAAGCUAGAGCACCUCCUUAGAAACUGUUUUGAAAUUGAUACCUCAUCUUACAAUCAAAGUUCAUACAUAGCCCUCGAUCUUCAUUGCAUUCCCUCAUUAGUCCAUAGGGUUUCAGUCAAUUUCUAUAUGAUGAUGACUUUCACAUGUACAUCAACAGCCCAAUAGCUUAUCAAGAAAGCUUGAGUCUUCUAUUUUCUAGUGACAUCCCACUUAGAUCUGGCAUUAAGUUCAUUUUUUUCCUUCUAGCUAUUUCUUCCAAAUUUCUUGGCUAUUGUUACUAACAACACAAAUUUUUGGAUCUUCCAAUUUACAGUCUUAGGUUCAUUUCCUUAUUUUCUUUCCCUCCCAUAUGAAAACAGUUGCUAAACUUGUUACUUCUUAUAGUUGUUACUUUAUAAUGUACUUCGGGUAUGCCCCUUUUCAUUUUUAAAACUGCCAGUUUAAUUCAAGCUCUUAAAUGUCAAGGUGUUUUGUAGCCUCUUGUAUUAUAUCGCAUUACAUUGCAUUGCAUUGCAGCCUCUUGGUUUUCUCUCUAGUCCCCAUCCUCUUUUACCCCUUCCCCACUAGCCAAUACAAAAUAUAAAAUAUUUUUCAUCAAACACCCUGUAAAAAAGUGAAUAAGGUGGGUGAAUAAGGAAAACCUGAUUGACUAGGAAAAGGGAAUUUAAAUGGAAUCUCCUUUCUUUUCAAUGAUUCUAUCUGGAAGGAAAGGAGAAGAGCAGAACCUUCAGGAAUUGGCUCAUAACUUAGAUACUGAAUGGGAAAUUGUUGUCAGGAAGAGACUGAUAAUACAUGGCAAUAACCAUUGGAAAGCUAAAAGGAGACAUAAAAUUCAACUUUUGCUAGCCACUCUUUCCCUUUUUGCUCUCCAUAUACCUCAUAUGUGCAGUAUUUAUUUUGUUUGUCUUAUUCUGGUCAUAAAGUUAUCUAGGAGGCUAGGAGCGCUGACCACCAUCAGAGAUGGGAAAGUAGUCUGUUCUGAUUGUAGUGACGAAAGGAGUUCAAUUCACACCAAGGGUCUUUCUCGCAUUUAGAAACAUCCUAUUAUUUAAGGCCUUUCGCUCAUAUAAGCUCAUCACUAGUUCUUUACCUUUCUAUUUCAUUUCUCUCUACUCUCAUGUUUGUGUUCUCCGUUCCUAUCAAAGUAUCAUGUCUGGGAGAUGACCUGCCUGUUCCUGCUCUGCAGUAGUUUUGUAUAUUGCUAUAUCUCCAGUGCCUCAAAUAGUGCCUAGCACAUAGCACAGAGUAAGUACUCAACAAGUGUUUGAUGAAUCAAUGAAUGAUUACCCUUUCUCUCUGGCAAUCCAAAUCCAUUGCCGCUUACAAAAAAAAAAUCUAGCAGCUGGCCCAGUGGCAAUUAAGUUCACAUGCUCUGUUUCGGCAGCCCAGGGUUCACUGGUUCGGGUCCUGGGCGUGGUCCUAUGCACGGCUUAUCAAGCCAUGCUGUGGCAGGCGUCCCACAUAUAAAAAAAUAGAGGAAGAUGGGCACAGAUGUUAGCUGAGGGCCAAUCUUCCUCAGCAAAAAGAGGAAGAUUGGAGGCAGAUGUUCGCUCAGGGCUAAUCUUCCUCAAACAAACAAAAAAUUGACAUAAGGUUUGCCUACUCCAGUAAACUUCUAUCCAUUAUCAAUCUAGUUUUAAAUCACUUCAUUUUCCACGUCCCCUUCGCAAUUAUUUAUAGUUUUCACUCAAUUAAUGUACUCUUAUUAUGUUACUUUUUAUAUACUCCCACAUCUUUUCUAUAUAUGUUAUAUUUUCAACUAAAAGAGUAUGCCUCAAAUGUUAUAUAUUGUAUGUGCUGCUCAACAGUGCCUCCUGUGCUACAGAAAGGUAGACACUCAAUAGAUGGGUGGUUACUGCCUUUUAAGGUCUAUUCUCUGGAUCAAUGUGAUCUGCCUUGAAAGGGAGUUUAGAUCCAUAGGUUCUGUUUUUUGCUACUUCACUCAUACAUUGUGUGACUUUGAGUAAAAUUGUUCCUUCAGUGUUCAGUUUAAGAACAAAUUUUUUAAAAAGGAACAGUUUCCUAAAGAAAGACAUUUUAAAGCUACAGGAGCAUCUAUAGGUUGGUAACAUUUCUCCAGAAAUAUGUGAUGUAAUAUAAAAGUUCGGGACUGGUCACUUUGAAUCUUUUCUUGGAAUUUCUGUAGAAAUUUCCAUGUAGCAGAGAAACUGAAAUAGUGUUAUGUAGAAAAUAUUAUUAACUAAGAAAAGACCCCUAAUUUCAUCAUAGAGAAUAAGUAGAGGUAAUAUUCUGGAUUUUUGCAAUACUUAAGCUAUUUCUUAGUUGUCUCAUGAAGGAAUUAAUGUAGUGGAACAUAUUCAAGGAAUGACUUGAAUUCAAGGUGUCAGAAUUAAGACUGUACAAAGGUGUAACCGUGUUUUCUAUACUGGAUUUUCAAAUAGCUAAAUUAAAAGCCAAUCACUCUCUGGCUUCUUUCUUCAUCUAUAUUGUCUUCUAGCAACAAUAAAUUUGGGCAACCUGUACAUUAAAGCAAUUUCUAACCAUGCCAAAUCAACUUCAGUUUCUAGUCAUUUCCAGUUCCUCCUCCAUGAAAGUGUACAACAUUUAGGUUAUUCCACAUAUUUGCCCCAUAUUCCAAAGUGUUAGGUUGCCAAAGAAAACUGAUCAGGUAAUACUACUAUUUGUCUUCAUGUAGUCAUUCUAAGUACACAUAAAAUCAGACAUUAACACAAAAAUAUGAAGGGAAGAAAAACAUCAAGCCAUAGAAUUGAGUUUUAGUUUUACUGACAUUUAUAUAUCACACUUCCUGUUUAUGAUUUCAGAAGUGCAACCAUGCAGUGCUUCUAUUAAAAACUGAGUAAUUGACAACAGUUUGAGGAUUACAGUGACAACUUACUCAAAGGAAAAAAUACUAAACUUCUGCCUUCGUUUGUGGAACUGCUAUCUUUCUUGUGUAAAAAGUUGAGUAUUUUUCAACCAUCAUUUACUAAUAGUGUAGUUAAAAGGGAGCUUAAUAGCCUUGUGCCCCUAAAACAAGCAACCAGACAUGAAUCUUAGUUCUGAAUUUGACUAGUUUAUGGAAUAAAAAAACCAAGCCAAACCUCCUCUAAUACAUAUAUGUAAAGGCAAUGCUUGCAAAAAUUUGCUUUUUUCCCUCAUUUUGUGAUUUCAGUUGUCUAUUGUUAUGCAUUAAUUAACAAUUUCACCUGAAGGAGGGAAAGGGUAGAUGUGAAUACAGUUUUUAAAUAAAAGCCCCUUUCUCUAUUAACUUGUUCUAAUUGAAGCAUAAUUAUGUCAGUUUAUUUUUCGGUGACUUCAGAGUGUGUGUGUGUGUGUGUGUGUGUGUGUGUGUGUAGAGAGAGCGAGCGCCCAAGUGAGCAAUGACUGCUAGCUAGACAUGAAAAUCCAUGUCCUCACUUCUUGGCCAAACAGAUAACCUUUUUCCCCGCCCCCCUUGCAGUUAGCUGUGGGCAUACGACUAAGUCACAGCUAAUGGAAUAAGUAUGCACUACUUUGAGUCCCCUCCCCUAGAAAACUCUCCUUCCAGCAGACUGAAGUAGAGAAGACCCCCAGGGAGACUUUGGAAGUUUGGUACUGAAAGCCUAGGUACUGAAAGACCUUGGAAACGUAAAUAUUAUUGAACUACUUGUUCAUUUUAGCAAGAAACAAAUUGGAGCCAUUAUACAUUUGGGGGUUAAUCUGUUAUGGCAAUUAGCCUAUCCUAAUUAAUUCAAUAUACAAAACUUAUAUUUGCAGUGUCCCUAUGAUGCACAACUCCAGAGAGCACCAUUUACAUUGUAUGCAUGUAAAUGGAAUUUCCUGAAGCAGUUAAGAGGCUACAGGAUCAGCUGUCCCUGCUCUGAGCUAAGGCAAGCCCCUCUACUUGUGCCCCGGAUCCCAUCUUUUCUUGUAGAGUCAAGGAUUGCGUUCUUGAUUGGUUCCUGGAAGUGGAACUACUGUAUCAAAGAUUUGGAUGUUUUUAAGACCCCAGAAAGGUAAUAUAAUAGAUGAGAUUAUAAAUUUCAUUGCAUUCUUAGCAACACUAGCUAUUAACACUUAUUUUCAAUCUUUGUCAAUCUGAUGGGGAGAUUCUUUCUGUAAUUUAAUUUGAUAAAGUUGCAUUUUUGCUGAUAUACUCAUAUUAAUAACUUUACUACCUCAAGGACUUAUAAUUCUUUGUCUUCUCCAUGAUGCUUAACAUAGAGCCUUGCCAACAUGUUGAAGAAUAUAUCUUUUUUAUUGACUUUGGCAAUAUUUCUUUAAAAAUAAGUUAUUUUUUGAAUACAUAGAAAGGUGAAGAAAAAUAACAUAAAGGAUCCAAAUUAUUUUACUUAAUAAAAUGUAUGACUGUAUUUAGUUCUUCAUGUAGUAGUAGACACAGCAUUACUACUAUCAGCUAGCAAUAUAUUUUUUGUCGAAUCUCUUUAUUGAAAUCAUAUUGAAUUUAUGGCUUACUGUACCAUUUUCACUACAGCACUUUCCAAAAUGCUUAGUUUAUAAGCUUCAGAAAAACAUUCACUAGAUAACUACUUUGAAAUAAUUUCCUCAACCCUGCCUUCAUUCAGAAUGCCUAGAAACAGACUGGCCCACUUCCAGUUUUCUUUCAUGUUAUCCUUACUAUGAAGUCAUUCUAUAGAUAGGGUAAUAAGUAUUCUGGCAUAACAGAAAAAUAGCAUCUGUAAAACUAUAUGGCACAGUUUGGCUGGGGUUGUUCCUUGAGAACUGCAUUACGUAAUUUAAAAGUGUUUACUUAAGCUCCUUUGGGCUGCCUCCAUGGUAGCUAUGAAGUCACAGAGAAUUAGGAACAGUUUGGGCCCUGAUAACAAAGUCUGUCAGUUUAACGUGAACACUGUGUCAGUUUUUUUAAAAUCAUUGCUAUAUAAGAAACUUCAAAAACAAAGAUAUACUUAAGUCAUUUUAUUUUUUUUAAAAAGCAUGCUACUUCAAAAAUCAUUAAGAAAUACACACAAAAAAAUAGAGUUCAUAAGUGUAC
Molecule: long non-coding RNA, 7180 nt
Filed under: Equus caballus (horse)
Lineage: Eukaryota; Metazoa; Chordata; Mammalia; Perissodactyla; Equidae
Description: lncRNA (ENSECAG00000048321.1)
Rfam family: Deleted in lymphocytic leukemia 1 conserved region 2 (bases 3042-3365)
Source: RNAcentral